Molecule: small nuclear RNA, 105 nt
Organism: Vombatus ursinus (common wombat)
Lineage: Eukaryota; Metazoa; Chordata; Mammalia; Diprotodontia; Vombatidae
Source: Ensembl
GCUUGAUUCUCCAGGCCAUAUAAUAAAAUCGGAAUGAUAGGGAGUGGAUUAGCACUGGCCUUGCACAAAGAUGAUAAACAAAUUCAUGGAGCAUUUCAUAUUUGC